Molecule: ribosomal RNA, 403 nt
Filed under: uncultured bacterium
Lineage: Bacteria
Description: bacterial SSU rRNA
Rfam family: Bacterial small subunit ribosomal RNA
Source: RNAcentral
UGGGGAAUUUUGCGCAAUGGGGGAAACCCUGACGCAGCAACGCCGCGUGGAGGAUGAAAUCCCUUGGGAUGUAAACUCCUUUCGACUGGGAAGAUAAUGACGGUACCAGGAGAAGAAGCCCCGGCUAACUUCGUGCCAGCAGCCGCGGUAAUACGAGGGGGCAAGCGUUGUUCGGAAUUACUGGGCGUAAAGCGCGUGUAGGCGGUUGUUCAAGUCAGGUGUGAAAGCCUUGAGCUCAACUCAAGAAAUGCACUUGAUACUGGAUGACUAGAGGACCGGAGAGGAUAGUGGAAUUCCCAGUGUAGUGGUGAAAUACGUAGAGAUUGGGAAGAACACCAGUGGCGAAGGCGGCUAUCUGGACGGUUUUUCUGACGCUAAGACGCGAAAGCGUGGGGAGCAAACA